CUUGAGAUCAGUUCUGUACGACGAAAACGGAGCCCUCCAACUAAACUGGCCCACGAGGGUUAGAAUCGUUCAAGGAGUGGCGCACGCACUAGCUUACCUUCACCAUGAUUGCACACCACCUAUCGUCCACCGUGAUGUUACGAUAAACAACAUUUUACUCGAGUCGGAAUUCGAACCGAGGCUAUCGGAUUUCGGCACGGCGAAAUUGCUGACUUCUGAUUGGUCGAAUUGGACAACAAUGGCAGGCUCGUACGGCUACAUGGCUCCAGGUAAAUUCUCGUAACUUCGCUUUCACUACUAAAUCUGCAUCACGAAGUUAGAAUUUUUUUUCUGACAAUUUACCUUUUUUUUUUUUCUGUGCGCUCAGAGCUUGCGCUGACUAUGAAGGUGACGGAAAAAUCUGACGUGUACAGCUUUGGAGUUGUGGCCUUGGAAACUAUGAUGGGGAGGCACCCGGGGGAUCUCAUAUCUACACUAUCGGCAAACUCGGCAUUGCAUAGUGAACCGGAUGUGUUUCUGAAGGAUCUGCUCGAUCAACGGCUCUCAUCUCCCGCGGGCAAAACAGCAGAGGAAAUUGUGUAUGUAGUCACCAUGGCGUUAUCGUGCGUACGGACCAUCCCAGAGUUACGGCCUAAUAUGCGUUUCGUUGCACAAGAAUUGUCGGCUCGUGAUCGGCCUUACCUGCUGCAGCCACUGCAGACAGUAAAACUAAACGAAGCAACAAGUUUCUCAAAUUAGGAGGAGUUCGUGAUUUGCCGCGAUAAGUAUACAUAGUCACAUAAUCAAUGCUUGGACUCUGCAUAUACAUAAAUCCAGGGGAAUUAUGUCUUUAUUGGAAACUAAUGUACACAAUAUUUAUCUGUACGGAAACUAAUGUAGAGGAGGAUUUGACAGUAUUUUUUUUUUCUAUUCUAAAAAAAAAUAAUUCUUCCAUUGGCAAUGAUGCCCAGCAUUCAAUUAGCACAUAAACAUAAUCAGCAUGCAUAUACAAUUCACAGAAAUACUAAAUAAUUGAGAAAUCAAUCAGAAAUGAAGCCAUGAAAAUUGAAACCCUUACCUGGAAUAAAAAAAAAAAAGAAUCAGCGGAUCGGAGAAGAACUCCAUGUGCAACUACAGAGCAGAGGAAAAGCAAUGAUAUAUGAACUAGCUAUACGAGCAUACGGAAUAUCGGUGUUGGGCGCCGAUCACUUGUCGGAUAGAACGAUAACAUAAGGGUUUAUGGAACGGGAUUCCGGCACCGGCGAGUGGUGAAUAGAAUUGGACGGUGGCGAGUGCGCAUUUUCAUUUGGGUUUGGCUUCUUCGAAUAUUUUAUGCCCCCGUUUGUUCAUCACGCGCGUUUUUGGAGCGUAUACGAUUCAUCCCCAUUUUUUCUGCUUUUGUUUGUUUUCUUACUAUAGAGUAUAGAGGUUGAGAAUUUUAUUUUAUUUUAUUUUUAUUUUUUGAAUUUUGGAUUGAGGAACUUUUGAACUCAGAGGAUAAAAAAAAAAAGUUAAAAUAUUAUUUUGUCAAAAAAUUUUAAAUUAGUGAAAAAAUUAAUAUUUAUUAGUUUUAUACAUUAUUUAAUUAAUAACUUAUCAUUACUUUGUGAAAUUAGUUUUAUUAUUAUUAUUUAUUAUUAUUAUUGUUGUUGUUGUUGUUGUUGUUGUUGUUGUUGUUGUUGUUGUUGUUGUUUUCAAUAAACUCAAUCAAGCUCAUAAAGAUGAUGAAGUUGAAGAUGAUAGUUCACAACAAAACCCGUUCCUCGGUCGAGAACUCUUCAAAUAAAAAAUAUAUUUAAUAUUUCUGUAAGUGAGUUACGACGAAAUAAAAUCGAAGUUCUUACAAUGUUAAGAUGAGGAAUGAGAUUCAAGUAAUGUCAACUUCAACGAGAAGCAAAAGAAAAUUAAAACAUAUUUGCUAUAUGUUUAUAGAUUUAUGAAAUUGUACUAUGUAUUAUUUGAAGAUUUAUUUAUAUGCAUUAUUAAUUUAUAUAUUAGAUGCAUGAUAUUUAUUAGAAUUUUCAAAUAUGUAUUAUUUUAUAAAAAAAAAAAAGAGAAGUAUUAAUUUAGUAUGUUGUCCCCGAGCCAAAACUGAUUUUUUAUUUAUUUAUUAUUUAAAUGAUGUUAUUAAGUUAUCGAGUAUUAAUUUAUCGAUGUUCUACUGCAAUUUUAAAGAUGCCAUAGGAGUGGGGUGGGUGAGUUUGACCCUUUAAAAAAUUUAUGCUUACAGAUGUGAUGAUGAUAGUACUACUUGCUUCAAGUUUCUCCUUUUAUUUUUUAAUAGGGAAAAUUAGUUAAAAUCAUUAGGUAUUUGCAAUUAUUAAUAAGAGGGACACGCUUUCAAUUUUGAUUAUGUUUUUCUGCACAAAUUAUUUAUUAGAAGUCUUUUGACUACUUUUCUAUAAAUAUAUUUGUGACUACUUUACCAUUGAUAUCAUCGUUAUAACGAGAUAAGGUCAAGUUUUCUCGUGAAAUGGAUUUUUUUGUAGAUGCUACGUUCAGUUAAAUACAUUGCGUGAUCUUACACUAUUGAUUUAUACAUAAUAAAUAAUGACAAACACUCAUAUAUAUAAUAUAUGUGUGCUAAGUGAAUAGUUAUUUAUAUAGAUUAAUAGUGCAAAAUCGCCCGAUGUUUUUCACCAGAUAUAGCAUCUCAUAGACGAGUUUAACGAGAAUUGCAAAAAAAAAUUGAUAAUACAUGUCAAAAAAAAUUUCAAUCAAUGUCGUUCUCAAAAAAUGCCUCUCCGAAAAGCAUUUCCUAUUUCUUAUAAUUUUUAACCGUAAUGAAUUUUAAUAGGAAAAUCGACUUUUAGUUCAACGAAUUAAGAUGGUGUUUGCAAGAGUUUAUUUAAAAACUUAAGUUAGUGAUUGUGAAUUAAGUUGAUAUUAAAUGCUUAUUUUUAAAAGUAGGGAAUAUUUGGAAAAUUUCUCAAAAUCAACUUAAAUAGAAAAAGACAAGUCCAAAGACGCUUUUAAAAUUAUAUUUGAAAUCAACUUAUUUUAAGAGACGUCAAAAUAGAAGAUCAUUUUUGCAAACAUCUAAAAACAAAUAACGGUUGAAAAAAGCUCAAAAUUUGUUUCUAAAAACUCUUGCAAACACGAGCACUUGAGUCACCAUGAUUUACUCCUCCAUCAAUUUUUUUUUUCUUUUAGUUUAUUUUAAUUUUAAAUAUGAUUGUGUUUUAAAUGAGUGGCUCCUUGGCUCCUUAUAAUAAGUUUAAAAGAAGGCCACUUUCUUUGAACCCAACAACCUAUCCAAUGUUUUAUAUGAGAGUUAAAAAGUCAACUUUUCACACACAAGUCAACAACAAUUUGCUCAAAGAUGACAGUCUGGACAGAUGAAAUGCCAGCCCUCAUAUUUGAAGUUCUUAUUUUUCUUGGUCAACGCUUUAUUAAAAUAGGAAACUCACUAUGGCCCCAAAUUUCCCAUAAGAUUCAAUUUAAAGCAAUAGUAGCUGACUUAUAUUACUUAAUUAGUUCCCAUUGCUAGUAUUGGAUUCUUUUAGAUAUUUUCUAACAACCACCCAUACAAAAAUACUUCAUUUGUCUCGUAUUAUAUGUCUUUUUUAGGGUGUUUGUUUCUUUUUUACAAAAUUAUUUGUCAAGUUAGAGUUCCAAUAAAGUACUAAUUGCAUUUUUAUCAAUUUUGCUCAUUUAUCACUUUUAAUUAGUUAACUAAAAUAAAUUAAAGACAAGGAUAUUUUAGCAUUUACUAUGUUAUUUUUUGUUAUAAUUUAUGCGUAUUUAUUACUCCAUCCAUUCAACAAUAUCUGUCAUUUUAAAAAAAAAAUUAUUACAUAUUAUCUAUCACUUUAGAAUUUCAAUAGUACAUUAAUUGCAUAUUUUUCAAUUACAUCCUCAUUAACUCUUCAACACUUUCUCUGCAUUAAUUAAUAAAUAAUACUUAGUAUUUUAAUCUAACAAUAUCUAUUUUCCUAAAAUUAUUACAUUUUUUAAGAUUUGUGCAAAUGUGAGAAACGACUAUUAUUUAGAAACCGAAGAAGCCAAUCAACCUUUUCAUUGUCUAUUUUUCAAAUUGUCAAUUGACUCAAAUAAGAACAAACAGAAAAAAAGUCAACCCUUUUAAUGUACUUCACACUAGCAAGUGGUAACAACCAUAAACAUAUAUUAAUACCACAAACCCCAAAUCAAGAGAGUAGAAAUAAAUAAACAAAAAAGCAAACCCAGUUGUUUUCAAUUCAAAUGUUUGCAAUAACAAUCAAAGCAAAUGUAGCAGCAUAUUAAUUCACCAAAAAAAACACACACACAGACAAUGAAAACAUACCUUUUCUUCCUUCAUAUUUUUCUGCUAACAACAACAACUUCUCUAUUGCCCCUUCCAAAAGCAGCAGCCUCACCUACAACUGAAGCAACUGCUCUGGUGAAAUGGAAGAACACCCUACCAUCACCAUCUCCUGUACUAAACUCAUGGUCACUCACCAACCUCCGAAACCUCUGCCGCUCAUGGACCGGCAUCCGAUGCAACUCCGGCGGCUCCGUUUCUCAAAUCGACCUCUCCGAUUCGAAUCUCGCCGGAACCAUCAGCCAAUUCGAUUUCUCCUCACUCAUAAACCUCACAACUCUCAACCUCAACGGCAAUGCCUUCAACGGCUCGAUCCCGACGAGUAUCGGAAAUCUGACGAAGCUCGUUUCGUUCGACCUCAGCGACAAUUUGCUUGACGGCCCGAUCCCGAUUGAGAUCGGCAAUCUGAGGGAGAUUGAAUACUUCACCUUGCUCAACAACUCUCUAAUUGGAGAAAUUCCUCACCAAUUCGGCAAUCUCCAAAAGGUAAGGUAUUUGAAUUUGGGCUCUAAUUACUUGGAAACCCCUGAUUGGUCUAGGUUUCCGAGCUUUCCACUUCUAACGCACCUCAUGAUUAACUACAACGAGCUUACGUUAGGGUUUCCCGACUUCAUCACAGCUUGUCAGAAGCUCACCGUUCUCGAUUUGUCGCAAAACAAACUCACCGGACAAGUUCCUGAGUCUUUGUUCAAUCUGGUUCAACUCGAGUACCUUAACCUAACCUUGAAUUCGUUACAAGGGUCCUUUUCGACGAACCUCACGAAGCUGUCGAAAUUGAAGGAUCUUCGAUUGUCGAGCAACUUAUUCUCCGGCCACAUUCUUGAUUAUGUCACUUUUAUGCCAAACCUCGAAAUUCUUCAUCUGUUCAACAAUUCAUUUCAGGGGGGAAUCCCGCCGGAAAUAGGUCAACUCCGGCAACUCCAGGAGCUAGAUCUCCGGCAGAACGCCUUCAACUCCACAAUUCCGGCCGAGCUCGGCCUCUGCACUAACCUCACCUUCUUAGCAUUCGCCCUCAAUUCGUUCACUGGACCGUUGCCUUCAUCCUUUUCGAACUUAACCGAGCUAUCCAACUUGGGAAUCUCCGACAACAGUUUCUCCGGCGAUAUCUCGCCGUUCAUCGGGAGCUGGACGAAACUAACGUCGCUGCAGAUUCAAAACAAUCACUUCACCGGCGAAAUCCCGCCGGAGAUUGGCCUGAUGACGGAUCUGAAUUAUCUGUUUUUGUACAACAAUUCAUUUUCCGGCGAAAUCCCACCGGAGAUAGGCAGCCUGCAGCACCUGUUGAUGCUAGACCUUUCGACCAAUCUAUUUUCAGGCGGCAUACCUUCGACACUCGGCAACCUCGCAAACCUUUCGAUACUAAACCUUUUCUCAAACAGUCUUACAGGAACCAUUCCUUCCACGAUUGGAGACUUGAGUUUACUACAGAUUCUUGAUAUCAAUACAAACCAAUUGACUGGUCCGAUACCGGAUUCCUUCUCCAACCUCACUAGCCUGUCGACUCUAUCGGUGUACACGAAUAACCUUUCGGGGAUUCUCCCACCAGAUCUCGGGCAGAAUAUUCCUCAGUUAACCAGUGUUAGCUUUUCCAACAACAGCUUCUCUGGGGAGAUUCCAUCUGGCAUAUGCAGCGGCCUGUUGUUCGAUCAGUUUACGGUGAACGGCAAUGGGUUUUCGGGGCUUCUGCCGCAAUGCUUGAAGAACUGCUCGGGGUUAAGAAGGGUGCGCCUCGAAGACAAUCGGUUCUCGGGGAAUGUUUCGGAUGCGUUUGGAGUUCAUCCGCUGCUCGACUUCGUUUCUCUGAGCAGAAAUCAAUUCACCGGCCAGCUCGAUGGCGAGUGGGGUCAAUGCAGAAAUCUCACAAAUAUUCAGAUGGAUCACAAUAGAAUAUCCGGACGUAUCCCAGCUGAGCUCGGAAAUCUGACACAGCUUGGCGUUCUUGCCUUGGAUUCGAACGAGUUAACGGGCGAAGUUCCUGUGGAGUUCGGAAAGCUGGAGCAGCUGUUUAAUCUCAACCUGAGCAACAAUCAGUUGAGUGGCGAAAUUCCUACAACUAUCGGCCAACUGACGAAGCUCCGGAAUCUUGAUUUGUCGGGGAAUAAAUUCAGAGGGAAUAUUCCCGAGGAAGUUGGUAACUGCGAAGGCUUGCUGAACUUGAAGCUGAGCAAUAACUUAUUAUCAGGGGAGAUCCCUUCGGAACUCGGAGAUUUGACGAGGCUGCAAAUCGUGUUGGACCUCAGUAACAAUUCACUUUCGGGGAAUAUUCCGUCAUCCUUCGGAAGGUUGACCUCAUUGGAGAUUCUCAACCUCUCGCACAACAAUCUUUCGGGCCGAAUCCCAGCAGCAUUGUCUGGAAUGAUUAGUUUGAGAGACUUCGAUUUCUCUUACAAUAAUCUGUCUGGUCCGAUCCCAGCCGGCGAUAUAUUCAGCAGAGCACCCGCAAAAGCAUAUAUUCCAAACUCCGGUUUAUGUGGAACUGCAGAAGCAUUACCUCGUUGUGAUGCCCCCUCUUUAACUUCAAAGUCGAGUAAUAAUCGGACGAAGAUUCUUGUCGGUGCCAUUGUGCCAGCUGUUAGCCUCGUAAUUUUGGCAACCAUUAUAGCUGGAUGUUGCAUUUGCCGAGGGAAAUCAAAGCAACUCGAUGAAGAAACCAAAAGCAUGACCAAGUUCGAGGAUUCGGAAUCGCUCGUUUGGGAAAGAGAAGGGAAACUCACAUUUGGAGAUAUUGUUCGAGCAACGAAAAAUUUCGACGAGAAAUACUGCAUCGGAAGAGGAGGAUUUGGAAGCGUUUAUCGAGCUGACUUGGCGAGCGGACAGAGUGUAGCGGUGAAAAGGCUCCACGUAUCGGAAUCGAGCGACGUGCCACUGGCGAAUAUUCGUAGUUUCGAGAAUGAAAUCCGGACACUGACGGAAGUGAGGCACAGGAACAUAAUCAAGCUUUAUGGAUAUUGCUCGAGUAAAGGAUCGAUGUACUUGGUCUACGAGUACGUAGAGAGAGGCAGCUUGAGAUCAGUUCUGUACGACGAAAACGGAGCCCUCCAACUAAACUGGCAGACGAGGGUUAGAAUCGUGCAAGGAGUGGCGCACGCGCUAGCCUACCUUCACCAUGAUUGCACACCACCUAUCGUCCACCGUGAUGUAACGCUAAACAACAUUUUACUCGAGUCGGAAUUCGAACCGAGGCUAUCGGAUUUCGGCACGGCGAAAUUG
This 7492-nucleotide long non-coding RNA is filed under the name Erythranthe guttata (spotted monkey flower). Its description in RNAcentral is "long non-coding RNA (EGUT_LNC003855)". The record is from RNAcentral. Lineage: Eukaryota; Viridiplantae; Streptophyta; Magnoliopsida; Lamiales; Phrymaceae.